GCCCAGAUGGCGGAAUUGGUAUACGCGCCAGUUUCAGGUACUGGUGGCCGCAAGGCCGUGGAGGUUCAAGUCCUCUUCUGGGCA
This 84-nucleotide transfer RNA is filed under the name Spirochaetia bacterium. Its description in RNAcentral is "tRNA-Leu". It matches the Rfam family "tRNA". From Rfam's summary of the family: Transfer RNA (tRNA) molecules are approximately 80 nucleotides in length. The record is from RNAcentral. Lineage: Bacteria; Pseudomonadati; Spirochaetota; Spirochaetia.